Molecule: long non-coding RNA, 2635 nt
Organism: Brassica rapa (field mustard)
Lineage: Eukaryota; Viridiplantae; Streptophyta; Magnoliopsida; Brassicales; Brassicaceae
Source: RefSeq, a predicted model, not a curated record
CGUCACCCGCCAGCUAGAUAAGUCGUUGCUCUUUAUCGUGACACGUGUCUCGUGUCCCCGAAACUCAUCGUUUCAUUAAGAGGCGUAUCGUCUGAGCUUGGCUCUGGGCGUAUCGUCUCUCUUCUUCUUUCUGCGGCGCUUGGCAACGCCUGAGCUUCUUCCGAAUCACUGAAACGGUUCGAGUUGUGGCUUUUCUGUGUUAACUCAAAUAGAGCAUAAUCUCUCCAUCUUCCUCGCGAUUUCUUCUACCGUUGUGCGAUCUCGAGUUUUUUCACACUUUCAAUGGCAAAUCCAAGUGCUGUAUCUGAAGAUAGGAAAUUGGACGACCUUGAAAUCGCCUCCGUUGGUGUUCUUUAUAGCGGCUACCAGAGCUCAUCUAGGGGAAAAGAUCGUUUCCCUUAUCCUGUGGGCUAUAAAGCUGUUCGAGCUCACAAUGAGAGCACAUAUUAUAUGGAGAUUGAAGAAGGUGCUAAAGGCCUUUGUUUCUGGUGUGUUGAUGAUUCCCUUUAAAUCUUAUAUAAGGUUGUGCAUACGUUUUUUUAGAAUGGAGCAGAGUCUUACUCUAUUGAUACUGAUACUUCCGACACAAGCUUGGUGCAUUGCAUCGCAUAGGAAUCAUCUGUACUGGUGGCUACAUAUGAAGGGACGCAUGACCACUUGGAUCAAACACUGUGACUUUGGAUAUUGUUCAUGGUGUGCAUGAUGUAUUAGCUUUGGAGAAGAAGAAAAGGGGAAUGAUGCAAGAGGUUUUGGUUCAGAAAUUGACCACUCCGUUACCUACUGAUUCAAAGUUUGCUGCUGCUCUUGCGGUUUCUAUAUCUGGAUGGUUGAUAUGUUUACCUCCGUUCAAGAGAAACUUCAUGAUUGGAUCAGUCGCAACCCACCCAUAACUCCGCUGAGAGGAACCUUGAAGCUACUGUUUACCCCCAAGCCAUCUGAAGAAUUGCUUUGGUUAUUGUUAAUACAAGCAGACCAUGUUGGUAAGUUGCCAUUGGUUCGUAUGAAUAAUCUCCGCUCAGUUCUUCUCUGUUAAUGGUUUUUAGUUAUACUUAGAAGAGCUGGUCUCAUCUGACAUUACGCUCCUCUGUUUGUUUUCGGAUUUCAUCAGUUAAUGUCUAUGUUCUGAAAAAUAGGGUGACGACUCUUCAUCAAGGUUAUGGUUCAUUGAGUUCCUUAGGGAGUAAGACGCUGACUAUGCAAUUAAGGCUCUUUACAUAAGCUCCAUGGAAAGGCUAUAUGUGUAACCAAGGCAAAUCAAGAUAAAAAGAGCAUGAUUGUUGGUGCUAACCUUUAGAAAGAAACAAUGGUACCACGAAUUGGGCUGUUGUUGAUAAGUCCGAAGUCUCCAUGAAUCAGAAAGCUUAGCCUGUCGGAGUUGGUCAUGUUGAUAUUAAUGCCAAGGGGAAAUAUCUGUGGAUUUUAACAUAGGUCAGCAAAGUCAUUCGACAGCAACUACUACGUUGAGAGAGCAGCACGAUGGUAGUAGUGAAAAGACAAGUUUAAGCCAAGGUUGUAAAGAAAACAGUAAAAGCUCGAGGAAGAGACACCAGCAAAGCAAAGAAAUAUCACAAGUUUAUUGAACUAACCAAUCUCACUCUCAAUACGUCAGAGAUACCAGCUAUGAAUGAGUGUUUUGUGGAGAUGGUAGCAGAAAGAGUCAUUGUAGAAUCUGUAAUCAGCGAAUGAUAGCAAAACGUGGUCUGAUUUCAAAGAGGCUAUAUGAAAAAGGAUCUAUAGCAAAGCCAUGGAAAAAGGAUGGCGUUUUCUUCUCUUUCGAUAGAAGCUGUUACUUGAGAACAGAUGAAAACUCAAGUGUACCUAUAUAUAGAUAUAUUUGACAAAAAAGUGUAUAUAAAUAUUCCAGAGUACAUAAAAAUCACAAGCAUUACAUAUUACAAGUACAUAAAAGUCAUAUGCAUUCAAGAGUAAAUGUCAUUUGUUUUAAAUGGUUAGAAGAAAGUUGAUUUGUUUUUAAAAAAAGAAGAAAAUUGAUUCAGUUGGAACAAUUAAGUGAAAAUAUGGUGUGUGUAUGAUAUGAUCUUGGCUUCGAAGCAAGACAUCCUUAAGAAACAUGAUACAAUAGAACAAUGAUAUGUUACUCCCAUUUGUCUAAACAUUUUUUGAAAACCAGUGAUUCAUAUAUUUUUAUUAUACUUCAAAUAAGCAUUGUGAAAACACAAAAUCUAAAGAUAGACAAUUACACAUACAUGUGCACAAAAAAAAGACAAUUACACAUACCAGCACAUAGCUCUCAUGACUUGAGUGACACUUCUAACAAAACAAACAGAUUUAGAAAUUGCAGUUAGCAGUCUAGAAGUGGGAAGUCAAUGAACAGGAAGUUAGUUACAUGUCUUCAUAAAAAAAACUAUUUAGUUUAGCAAAAAAACUCUCCAAAAUCACGUUCUCGAAAUGUAAUCACAAUUUCUUAUAAGACCUUUCUUUAGAAAAAAAAAAUAUAACAACAAUGACGAGCUCAAUUGAAACAUAAUUAUAUAUAACAUCUAAAAACAAGCGAAAACAACUACGAAAGAUAUAUACAAGACAAAACAUAUAUCUUUUUUUGUUCAAACAAAAUAUAUAUCUAUUUAAAAUGAUGAAAAAUAGAUAGUAAUAAAUUAGUCAAAUUGGACAACUU